AUGGAGACCAGACCAUGGCAGCUCCGGCUUCUUGCCCUUGUCACCACCACCACCACGGCCCUUCUCUUGAACCCAUCCACUUCCAUUUCCAGCUCCACCAGCACCGUCGACGACCUCCCGGCCCUCCUAUCGUUCAAAUCUCUCAUCACCAAGGAUCCCUUGGGCGCACUCUCCUCAUGGGCCAUCAACAGCACCUCCAAUGGCAGUACUCAUGGCUUCUGCAGCUGGACCGGCGUGGAGUGCAGCAGUGCUCACCCGGGACAUGUUGCGGCGCUUCGCCUACAAGGUCUUGGCCUCUCCGGGGCCAUUUCACCAUUUCUUGGGAACCUCUCCCGUCUCCGUGCACUCGAUUUGUCCGACAACAAACUUGAAGGUCAGAUCCCUCCUAGCCUUGGCAACUGCUUUGCACUACGCAGGCUCAACCUGAGCGUCAACUCCCUGUCCGGUCCCAUCCCUCCCGCCAUGGGAAACCUGUCAAAGCUUGUUGUUCUGGCUAUUGGCAGCAACAAUAUCUCGGGUACCAUUCCUCCUUCUUUUGCAGAUCUUGCAACAGUCACCGUCUUCAGUAUAGUAAAGAACCACGUGCAUGGGCAAAUACCACCAUGGCUCGGCAAUUUGACAGCACUGAAUGAUUUGAACAUGGGUAGGAAUAUUAUGAGCGGACAUGUUCCACCAGCUUUGUCUAAGCUCAUCAACCUUCGAGUCCUGACUGUAGCAAUCAAUAACCUGCAAGGUUUGAUCCCUCCAGUGUUAUUUAAUAUGUCGUCACUUGAAUACCUCAAUUUUGGGUCAAACCAACUGUCAGGCUCUCUACCACAAGAUAUUGGCUUUAGACUUUCUAACCUGAAAAAGUUCAGUGUAUUCUACAACAAAUUUGAAGGCCAGAUUCCUGCCUCCUUGUCAAACAUAUCUUCUCUUGAACAUCUCUCUCUCCAUGGGAAUAGAUUUCGUGGCCGAAUCCCAUCAAAUAUUGGCCAAAGUGGACGUUUGACUGUAUUUGAAGUAGGAAAUAAUGAGCUGCAGGCUACAGAGUCAAGAGAUUGGGAUUUUCUGACCUCCUUGGCUAACUGCAGCAGCCUAUCUCUUGUAAAUCUUCAACUGAAUAACCUUUCAGGGAUUUUGCCAAAUAGCAUUGGUAAUCUCUCGCAAAAACUUGAAGGACUUCGAGCUGGAGGAAACCAAAUUGCUGGGCAUAUACCUACAGGAAUAGGAAGAUAUUACAAGCUUGCAAUACUUGAGUUUGCAGAUAAUUGCUUCACAGGAACCAUACCUUCAGAUAUUGGAAAGCUAUCCAACCUCAAAGAACUAUCUCUAUUUCAGAAUAGAUACUAUGGGGAGAUUCCUUCGUCAAUAGGCAACCUAUCACAACUAAAUCUGCUAUCUCUUUCAACCAACAAUUUGGAGGGUAGCAUUCCAGCUACUUUUGGCAACCUUACUGAGUUAAUCUCCCUGGACCUUUCCAGUAACCUCUUGAGUGGGCAAAUCCCAGAAGAAGUUAUGAGCAUCUCCACCCUGGCUCUAUCUCUCAAUCUCUCAAACAAUUUAUUAGAUGGGCCUAUUUCUCCACAUGUUGGGCAGCUAGUCAAUCUUGCAAUAAUGGAUCUCUCAUCAAACAAGUUAUCAGGUGCAAUCCCAAAUACCCUUGGUAGUUGUGUAGCAUUGCAAUUCCUACACUUAAAAGGGAAUCUCUUGCAUGGACAAAUUCCAAAAGAACUCAUGGCAUUAAGAGGGCUAGAAGAGCUGGAUCUCUCUAAUAAUAAUUUAUCAGGACCUGUCCCUGAAUUUCUCGAGAGCUUCCAGCUUCUAAAGAAUCUAAACCUUUCAUUCAACCACCUAUCAGGUCUGGUGCCAGAUAAGGGGAUCUUCUCAAAUGCAAGUGCUGUAUCUCUCACAAGUAAUGACAUGCUAUGUGGUGGCCCUGUGUUCUUUCAUUUCCCUAGAUGCCCAUACCCAGCGCCUGAUAAACCUGCACGUCACAAACUGAUUCGCAUCUUGGUGUUUACUGUGGCGGGAGCAUUCAUCCUUCUCUGUGUCAGCAUUGCUAUACGCUGUUACAUUAGGAAAUCAAGAGGUGAUGCCCGCCAAGGUCAGGAAAACAGCCCUGAGAUGUUUCAGAGGAUCUCAUAUGCUGAGUUGCAUUUGGCUACAGAUUCAUUCUCUGUGGAGAAUUUGGUUGGCCAUGGAAGCUUCGGCAGUGUAUAUAAAGGGACUUUUGGUUCUGGUGCAAAUUUGAUUACUGCGGCAGUGAAGGUACUUGACGUCCAACGACAAGGAGCCACAAGGAGCUUCAUAUCUGAGUGCAAUGCUCUCAAAAGGAUUCGACAUCGCAAACUAGUCAAGGUGAUCACAGUGUGUGAUAGCUUGGACAAUAGUGGCAGCCAAUUCAAGGCACUUGUGCUAGAGUUCAUUUCCAAUGGAAGCUUGGAUAAAUGGUUACACCCGAGCACAGAAGACGAGUUCCGGACACCAAACCUUAUGCAGAGGCUAAACAUUGCUCUUGAUGUGGCGGAGGCACUGGAAUAUCUCCAUCACCAUAUUGAUCCUCCAAUUGUUCACUGUGAUGUUAAACCAAGUAAUAUUCUUCUUGAUGAUGACAUGGUUGCACAUCUUGGUGACUUUGGACUAGCAAAGAUAAUUAAAGCAGAAGAAAGCAGGCAAUCACUCGCCGAUCAAAGUUGCUCGGCUGGAAUCAAAGGCACAAUUGGGUACCUUGCACCAGAGUAUGGCACCGGGACUGAAAUAUCUGUGGAAGGCGACGUGUACAGCUAUGGUGUGCUAUUGUUGGAGAUGCUUACUGGGAGGAGGCCAACUGACCCAUUUUUCAAUGAUACUACAAAUCUACCAAAGUACGUUGAGAUGGCCUGUCCUGGUAAUCUGUUGGAAAUAAUGGACGUCAAUAUAAGAUGCAACCAAGAGCCUCAAGCGGCUUUAGAAUUGUUCGCUGCUCCAGUUUCAAGACUUGGUCUAGCUUGCUGCAGGGGCUCUGCAAGACAGCGCAUAAAGAUGGGCGAUGUGGUAAAAGAAUUGGGUGUGAUAAAACGGCUAAUCAUGGCGAGCCAGAAUUCUGCGUCUUGGUCCACAGUGAAGUAA
RNAcentral lists this ribosomal RNA (3090 nucleotides) under Triticum aestivum (bread wheat). Its description in RNAcentral is "partial small subunit ribosomal RNA". The record is from RNAcentral. Lineage: Eukaryota; Viridiplantae; Streptophyta; Magnoliopsida; Poales; Poaceae.